Molecule: ribosomal RNA, 253 nt
Filed under: uncultured bacterium
Lineage: Bacteria
Description: partial 16S ribosomal RNA
Rfam family: Bacterial small subunit ribosomal RNA
Source: RNAcentral
UACAGAGGGGGCAAGCGUUGUUCGGAAUUACUGGGCGUAAAGGGCGCGUAGGCGGCCCGCUAAGUCGAACGUGAAAUCCCCAGGCUUAACCUGGGAACUGCGUCCGAUACUGGCAGGCUUGAAUCCGGGAGAGGGAUGUGGAAUUCCAGGUGUAGCGGUGAAAUGCGUAGAUAUCUGGAGGAACACCGGUGGCGAAGGCGGCAUCCUGGACCGGCACUGACGCUGAGGCGCGAAAGCUAGGGGAGCAAACGGG